RNAcentral lists this ribosomal RNA (613 nucleotides) under uncultured bacterium. RNAcentral describes it as "bacterial SSU rRNA". It matches the Rfam family "Bacterial small subunit ribosomal RNA", at positions 338 to 944 of the family's 1533-position model. The record is from RNAcentral.
CCUACGGGAGGCAGCAGUGGGGAAUUUUGGACAAUGGGCGCAAGCCUGAUCCAGCAAUGCCGCGUGAGUGAAGAAGGCCUUCGGGUUGUAAAGCUCUUUUGUCAGGGGAGGAACGGCUCCAGCUAAUAUCUGGGGCUAAUGACGGUACCUGAAGAAUAAGCACCGGCUAACUACGUGCCAGCAGCCGCGGUAAUACGUAGGGUGCAAGCGUUAAUCGGAAUUACUGGGCGUAAAGCGUGCGCAGGCGGUUUUGUAAGUCUGUCGUGAAAGCCCCGGGCUCAACCUGGGAAUUGCGAUGGAGACUGCAAGGCUUGAAUCUGGCAGAGGGGGGUAGAAUUCCACGUGUAGCAGUGAAAUGCGUAGAGAUGUGGAGGAACACCGAUGGCGAAGGCAGCCCCCUGGGUCAAGAUUGACGCUCAUGCACGAAAGCGUGGGGAGCAAACAGGAUUAGAUACCCUGGUAGUCCACGCCCUAAACGAUGUCUACUAGUUGUCGGGUUUUAAUUAACUUGGUAACGCAGCUAACGCGUGAAGUAGACCGCCUGGGGAGUACGGUGCAAGNUUAAAACUCAAAGGAAUUGACGGNNGNGAGNGCGAGACGACACGAGGAGAGG